AAUUAAAGCGGUACGUGAGCUGGGUUCAGAACGUCGCGAGACAGUUCGGUCCCUAUCUGCCAUGGGCGUUGGAUGGUUGAGAGGAGCUGUUUUUAGUACGAGAGGACCGAAAUGGACUGGCCUCUGGUGUACCAGUUGUCCUGCCAAGGGCACGUGCUGGGUAGCCACGCCGGGAAGGGAUAACCGCUGAAGGCAUCUAAGCGGGAAGCCCACCUCAAGAUUAACCAUCCCUGGGGGAUUAACCCCCCCAAAGGCACCAGGAAGACUACCUGGUUGAUAGGCUGGAGGUCUAAGUGUGGUAACGCACUCAGCCGACCAGUACUAAUCUGCCGCGAGGCUUGACCAU
RNAcentral lists this ribosomal RNA (346 nucleotides) under Treponema sp. Its description in RNAcentral is "partial 23S ribosomal RNA". It matches the Rfam family "Bacterial large subunit ribosomal RNA", at positions 2586 to 2925 of the family's 2925-position model. The record is from RNAcentral. Lineage: Bacteria; Pseudomonadati; Spirochaetota; Spirochaetia; Treponematales; Treponemataceae.